ACGCUCGACACCUACGGAGGCAGCAGUAGGGAAUCUUCCACAAUGGGCGCAAGCCUGAUGGAGCAACACCGCGUGAGUGAAGAAGGGUUUCGGCUCGUAAAGCUCUGUUGUUGGAGAAGAACGUGCGUGAGAGUAACUGUUCACGCAGUGACGGUAUCCAACCAGAAAGUCACGGCUAACUACGUUCCAGCAGCCGCGGUAAUCUGAGCGGGCUGGCAAGGC
This 222-nucleotide ribosomal RNA is filed under the name uncultured bacterium. RNAcentral describes it as "partial 16S ribosomal RNA". It matches the Rfam family "Bacterial small subunit ribosomal RNA", at positions 328 to 539 of the family's 1533-position model. The record is from RNAcentral.